RNAcentral lists this long non-coding RNA (599 nucleotides) under Gopherus agassizii (Agassiz's desert tortoise). Its description in RNAcentral is "lncRNA (ENSGAGG00000020699.1)". Lineage: Eukaryota; Metazoa; Chordata; Testudines; Testudinidae. The record is from RNAcentral.
CUUUAACUAAAGAUGCUGCUGUUAAUUAUUUUAUUGUUCAUAGUUCGAGUGGGAGCCUUCAAAGCUUUUUAACAGAGUGUUUCUGUCUCCCUUAUAUUUUCUGCUCUGUUGCAAAAGGAGCAGACAGGACCCAGGAGCAAUGUUCAGCGAUCUGGAGCAUCCAGCAAUUCCCAGGACCAGCAAUGUUGCUUGAUACUGGCUCUGGUACAGAGAUCCUCAGUGAGGUGGUGCGAGGAUGCCUGUUGUGUCCUGGUUGCUCGCAUGCAGGGAGAACUCAGAUCCUCCUGCUUCUGCUGAGACGGUACCUGUGGGCCAGACAAGACACCCAAUAGGUGCCAAGACCACAGAUGAGGUCUGUGCUGCAACAGAGCAUCAGCUGUUGGCAGGAGAGUUCAUGCCAGCUCCGUGGUCCCAGAUGGUGAUACAAGUUUUGUAUUACAGAUAAUGGACUCUCAUGGACACCGAAGGGGAGGAGAGAAGAGAAGCCGUUGGCUCAGGACGGGAGCAGGGAAGAUUCGUGGACUCCAUGUGGCUGGCUGCCUUGGGGUCUGGGACUGGAGCUCCAAGGCAAGAGGUUCAGCAGAUUUUCCUUUAAAAAG